Long non-coding RNA from Physella acuta, 1427 nucleotides. RefSeq lists it as uncharacterized. Lineage: Eukaryota; Metazoa; Mollusca; Gastropoda; Physidae. The record is from RefSeq and is a predicted model, not a curated record.
GAUAGUGGCGUGUGUAAAAACUUGUACAAACCGUGGACACCAGUGGAGUCUACAGUCUUUUUGUCACUAAACAAGACGAUAGACUUUUUUUAUACAGUCGAAGGUAGGAAUAGCUGUAUAACAGCACAUUAAACAAUGUGAACACUAACUAUGAACAACAAGAUGUGAUCAACGAAGCGAUUCAAACACGUAUUUAAAUCAUCGACAACAUUUUAAUAAGAUUACAGUACCUUUGUAAUUCUAGAUGAUUUAGAAAGUAUGGCAAGUGAGGAUUGAUUAUCUAAAUAUUUCACAGGUACACUUGAAUUACAAGAAUGUUUUGAGGGUCAAGGUGAGAUAAAUCUUUACAAACACUUGGUAAUUUGCAACAAAAAUCCUGGCCAUAAAAAAUUAAUACCCGUAAAUAAGUUAACUGUUGAGCAUUUUCCUUCUGGUUACCAUGACAACGACCUGUAUGACCUAACACAAGCCCUAGCUGCCCUAACCGUCAGGAUAGCCGUUAAGUUCACCAGUCCAGACAGACCAGAGUUUGUACCAGGCACUAAAGAUCCAUAUCCUUGCUACAACACCAGGGGACAGAACUCACUGAUGACAGGGACUGGGAUAAUGUGGUUGGUGGAAAAGUACAUAGAGGGAACGAGGGGCUACAGGAAAUGUCCAUGUCCUGAAUGUGACCACUCGGACACACCCAGCAAAGUGUGGUGGAAAGUUUGUAUGUUGACAGCCAGACAUGUGGUAUUUGAUACGAGUGAGGCGAGGCAGUCCAGCUGUAGGUUGUGGUUUGAUGGUGAUAAAAGUCCAGUCGUCAACAUUUAUGGAUAUGAGGUGGGUUUGUCAUACACCGUUGGAGACACUUGUUUGUUGUAUUGUGUGACACAUGACGUAGAUGUAGCUGAUAAAAUUGGAGAGAUGGUUGAGCGGUUUGAUGGUCUACGAGAGAAGGUAAGGGACAAAUACAAGAGACUUUGAGGUGUGGACAAGCUGACCAUUAUAGUGUCACAUCCUCAUGGCUGUUCUAAGCAGGUCUCUAUAGGUCACUGGGUACACAGACAUAAUGUGAAGUUAGGAGAGACCAGGUACACCUACACAACAUGUACCUGCCCAGGUAGCAGUGGAGCUCUGGUCUACAGACUUUUGACUGGUCUUAUCACCUCCACGUUGGAACAAAUUCUAACCCUAACUCCGGCGUAUUAAAUUUUAGUGGGGUGCAAUGGGACGAGGAUUAGCUGUUAGUUUUUUUAAAUGUAAACUAACAUAGCGUUAAAAUAUUUUUUAAACUAUUAUUGAACAGCUUAUCUUAAGCUUUCCAAUAUUCGACGGUACAAUUUUACUUAGUACAUUUUAUUUUAGAAUUUGAAUGUUGUGCAAACGGACAGCAAAACUACACAUAGUGUUGUUUAUUUAUACUUUUUAUGUUAGAUUAACAG